UGGGGAAUUUUCCGCAAUGGGCGCAAGCCUGACGGAGCAAUACCGCGUGAGGGAGGAAGGCUUUUGGGUCGUAAACCUCUUUUGUCAGGGAAGAAGUUCUGACGGUACCUGACGAAUCAGCAUCGGCUAACUCCGUGCCAGCAGCCGCGGUAAUACGGAGGAUGCAAGCGUUAUCCGGAAUUAUUGGGCGUAAAGGGUCCGCAGGUGGCCUAUCAAGUCUGCUGUUAAAGCGUGGAGCUUAACUCCAUACAGGCAGUGGAAACUGGGAGGCUAGAGUUCGGUAGGGGUCACGGGAAUUCCCAGUGUAGCGGUGAAAUGCGUAGAUAUUGGGAAGAACACCGGCGGCGAAAGCGCGUGACUGGGCUGAGACUGACACUGAGGGACGAAAGCUAGGGGAGCG
RNAcentral lists this ribosomal RNA (400 nucleotides) under uncultured bacterium. RNAcentral describes it as "bacterial SSU rRNA". It matches the Rfam family "Bacterial small subunit ribosomal RNA", at positions 355 to 770 of the family's 1533-position model. The record is from RNAcentral.